RNAcentral lists this transfer RNA (70 nucleotides) under Eubacterium sp. RNAcentral describes it as "tRNA-Cys". It matches the Rfam family "tRNA". Rfam says of the family: Transfer RNA (tRNA) molecules are approximately 80 nucleotides in length. Their secondary structure includes four short double-helical elements and three loops (D, anti-codon, and T loops). The record is from RNAcentral. Lineage: Bacteria; Bacillati; Bacillota; Clostridia; Eubacteriales; Eubacteriaceae.
GGCGGCGUUGUGGACUCAGGAGCAAAGGUCUGCAACACCCUUGUCAUCGGUUCAAAUCCGAUUGCCGCCU